This 1435-nucleotide ribosomal RNA is filed under the name uncultured organism. RNAcentral describes it as "16S ribosomal RNA". It matches the Rfam family "Bacterial small subunit ribosomal RNA". The record is from RNAcentral.
GAUGAACGCUAGCUACAGGCUUAACACAUGCAAGUCGAGGGGCAGCAGGAUCUAGCAAUAGAUUGCUGGCGACCGGCGCACGGGUGAGUAACACGUAUCCAACCUGCCGAUAACUCGGGGAUAGCCUUUCGAAAGAAAGAUUAAUACCCGAUAGUAUAAUCAGACCGCAUGGUUUGAUUAUUAAAGAAUUUCGGUUAUCGAUGGGGAUGCGUUCCAUUAGGCAGUUGGUGAGGUAACGGCUCACCAAACCUUCGAUGGAUAGGGGUUCUGAGAGGAAGGUCCCCCACAUUGGAACUGAGACACGGUCCAAACUCCUACGGGAGGCAGCAGUGAGGAAUAUUGGUCAAUGGACGCGAGUCUGAACCAGCCAAGUAGCGUGAAGGAUGACUGCCCUAUGGGUAGUAAACUUCUUUUAUAUGGGAAUAAAGUUUUCCACGUGUGGAAUUUUGUAUGUACCAUAUGAAUAAGGAUCGGCUAACUCCGUGCCAGCAGCCGCGGUAAUACGGAGGAUCCGAGCGUUAUCCGGAUUUAUUGGGUUUAAAGGGAGCGUAGGUGGACAGUUAAGUCAGUUGUGAAAGUUUGCGGCUCAACCGUAAAAUUGCAGUUGAUACUGGCUGUCUUGAGUACAGUAGAGGUGGGCGGAAUUCGUGGUGUAGCGGUGAAAUGCUUAGAUAUCACGAAGAACUCCGAUUGCGAAGGCAGCUCACUGGACUGCAACUGACACUGAUGCUCGAAAGUGUGGGUAUCAAACAGGAUUAGAUACCCUGGUAGUCCACACAGUAAACGAUGAAUACUCGCUGUUUGCGAUAUACAGUAAGCGGCCAAGCGAAAGCAUUAAGUAUUCCACCUGGGGAGUACGCCGGCAACGGUGAAACUCAAAGGAAUUGACGGGGGCCCGCACAAGCGGAGGAACAUGUGGUUUAAUUCGAUGAUACGCGAGGAACCUUACCCGGGCUUAAAUUGCAUUUGAAUAUAUUGGAAACAGUAUAGCCGUAAGGCAAAUGUGAAGGUGCUGCAUGGUUGUCGUCAGCUCGUGCCGUGAGGUGUCGGCUUAAGUGCCAUAACGAGCGCAACCCUUAUCUUUAGUUACUAACAGGUCAUGCUGAGGACUCUAGAGAGACUGCCGUCGUAAGAUGUGAGGAAGGUGGGGAUGACGUCAAAUCAGCACGGCCCUUACGUCCGGGGCUACACACGUGUUACAAUGGGGGGUACAGAAGGCAGCUACCUGGUGACAGGAUGCUAAUCCCAAAAGCCUCUCUCAGUUCGGAUCGAAGUCUGCAACCCGACUUCGUGAAGCUGGAUUCGCUAGUAAUCGCGCAUCAGCCAUGGCGCGGUGAAUACGUUCCCGGGCCUUGUACACACCGCCCGUCAAGCCAUGAAAGCCGGGGGUACCUGAAGUACGUAACCGCAAGGAGCGUCCUAGGGUAAAACUGGU